UACGAAGGGGGCUAGCGUUGUUCGGAAUUACUGGGCGUAAAAGCGCGCGCAGGCGGCUAUCCAAGUCAGUGGUGAAAGCCCGGAGCUCAACUCCGGAAUUGCCAUUGAAACUGUUUAGCUUGAGGACGAGAGAGGUGAGUGGAAUUCCCAGUGUAGAGGUGAAAUUCGUAGAUAUUGGGAAGAACACCGGUGGCGAAGGCGGCUCACUGGCUCGUUUCUGACGCUCAGGCGCGACAGCGUGGGGAUCAAACAGG
Molecule: ribosomal RNA, 254 nt
Filed under: uncultured bacterium
Lineage: Bacteria
Description: partial 16S ribosomal RNA
Rfam family: Bacterial small subunit ribosomal RNA
Source: RNAcentral